Molecule: non-coding RNA, 73 nt
Organism: Pocillopora verrucosa
Lineage: Eukaryota; Metazoa; Cnidaria; Anthozoa; Scleractinia; Pocilloporidae
Source: the annotation of a RefSeq genome assembly
GGCUUGUUAGCUUAGUUGGUAGAGUGCUGCACUGGUAUUGCAGAGGUCAUAGGUUCAAAUCCUGUACAGGCCU